UGCAAAACUUUAAUAAUAUGAGGGUAGAAU
RNAcentral lists this non-coding RNA (30 nucleotides) under Rattus norvegicus (Norway rat). The record is from RNAcentral. Lineage: Eukaryota; Metazoa; Chordata; Mammalia; Rodentia; Muridae.